CCUACGGGUGGCAGCAGUGGGGAAUAUUGCACAAUGGGGGAAACCCUGAUGCAGCGACGCCGCGUGAAUGAAGAAGUAUUUCGGUAUGUAAAGCUCUAUCAGCAGGGAAGAAAAUGACGGUACCUGACUAAGAAGCCACGGCUAACUACGUACCAGCAGCCGCGGUAAUACGUAGGGGGUAAGCGUUAUCCGGAUGUAGUGGGUGUAAAGGGAGAGUAGACGGCCAGACAAGUAAGAAGUUAAAGCCCAGGGAUCAACCCUGGUACUGCAUUUGAAACUGCCGGGCUGGAGUGCAGGAGAGGUAAGCGGAAUUCCUAGUGUAGCUGUGAAAUGCGUAGAGAGUAGGAGGAACACCAGUGGCGAAGGCGGCUUACUGGACUGUAACUGACGUUGAGGCUCGAAAGCGUGGGGAGCAAACAGGAUUAGAUACCCUUGUAGUC
Molecule: ribosomal RNA, 440 nt
Filed under: uncultured bacterium
Lineage: Bacteria
Description: partial 16S ribosomal RNA
Rfam family: Bacterial small subunit ribosomal RNA
Source: RNAcentral